UCCUUUGCCCAGCACACCUGUCACUCACCUCAACCCUUUCUGUCUUUUCCCCAUCUUUCUGUGGCUAGCUCCUCCUCAUUCUUUAGGUCUCAGUGUAGAUAGCACCACUAUCAGGAAGGAGUCCAGACACUGCCAGGCCUAAGAAAUGUAAACUAAAUGCUCUCAAGGGAUGAGAGACACUGGAAGCUGGGAGGCUCUUGGAACUCUGUUGCCAUCAUCAAGGUCAGCAGUCCAACUACCAGGGCCAGAGCCCCAACAAAGAAUCUUCAGUGCCAGCCAGAAAGAAUGAUGAACUCCUCGUGUAAAGGGAGUUUGGGGCAACCAGUCAAACCAUGGCCUCAUGAGAAGCAGCUGACUAGGGAAUGAGAGAGGAAUACAAAAGACAAGGCACUGCGAAGCCAAGUCUGGUUGGGGAGAAGAAACCAAUAUGCCUGAAACAGGGAACCAGAAAGGACUCAGACAAAACUGCUGACAAGUAUGGGGUUUCUUGGGGUAGGUGGUGAAAAUAUUCCAAAAUAAGAUUAUAGCGAUGUUUUCAUAA
Long non-coding RNA from Gorilla gorilla gorilla (western lowland gorilla), 541 nucleotides. RefSeq lists it as uncharacterized. Lineage: Eukaryota; Metazoa; Chordata; Mammalia; Primates; Hominidae. The record is from RefSeq and is a predicted model, not a curated record. The transcript has 3 exons.